This 496-nucleotide long non-coding RNA is filed under the name Mytilus galloprovincialis (Mediterranean mussel). Lineage: Eukaryota; Metazoa; Mollusca; Bivalvia; Mytilida; Mytilidae. The record is from RNAcentral.
AUUCUCUGUAAUGUUUUUUGUUUUGACAAUGAAAAGGGUAUUUAAGUCAUAAAUCCGGUAUCAUUUAAUAUUCUGUCAGCUGGCUACAUACCGUAUUUACAACAUGAACGUAGUUAACGCUCAGGUAGGAAUAAAUGUUGUCAAAAUUGUGCUUUGUGCUUUAAGUAUCGUAGUUUUAUAUUAUAGUACUAAAUCUUCAAGUGAAUCUUUAGAUCAAUACAAGAAAUUGGAUAAAUUGACACUACACGAAUUACAGCUUUUAUGUUUGAUGAAGUUACGGAAUGGUAUAGGACUCAUUUUACCAGACAUUUUACAGGACAAUUCUCGACACUAUGAGCUACUAUAUUACUCAUCUUGUUGUCAUAUACAGUUUUGUAUUGGUGAUUCAUCUUAUGAAUUAAAAGAUUAUGAUAUCUUUAUCGUUUAUAAAAAGCAUGAUAACAAAAGCAUACUGGAUCAUACCCCAAUGUUGUCUCCGGGAUAUAUUAUAUUCAGC